GACGAACGCUGGCGGCGUGCUUAACACAUGCAAGUCGAACGGAAAGGCCCCUUUGGUGGUACUCGAGUGGCGAACGGGUGGGUAACACGUGAGUAACCUUCCCUUUACUUCGGUAGCAUUUCAGGAAACUAGGGGUGAUACCGGAUAGGAAUGCUUGCUCCAUGGUGGGGGUUGGAUGGCUUCGGCGGUUUGGGAUGGACUCGCGGCUUAUCAGCUUGUUGGUGGGGUAGUGGCUUACCCAGGCUUUGACGGGUAGCCGGCCUGAGAUGGCGACCGGCCAAAAUGGGACCGAGAUACGGCCCAGACUCCUACGGGAGGAAGAAGUGGGGAAUAUUGAACAAUGGGCGGAAGCCCGAUGCAGCAACGCCGCGGGCGGGAUGACGGCCAUCGGGUUGUAAACCGCUUUCAGCAGGGGCGAAGCUUGUGGUGACGGUACCUGCAGAAGAAGCACCGGCUAACUACGUG
This 465-nucleotide ribosomal RNA is filed under the name uncultured bacterium. RNAcentral's name for it is "partial 16S ribosomal RNA". It matches the Rfam family "Bacterial small subunit ribosomal RNA", at positions 28 to 507 of the family's 1533-position model. The record is from RNAcentral.